Clupea harengus (Atlantic herring) is the source of this 1280-nucleotide long non-coding RNA. Lineage: Eukaryota; Metazoa; Chordata; Actinopteri; Clupeiformes; Clupeidae. The record is from Ensembl.
UGGCAUUAAAGGUGUAAGAAUGACCCUGAUACACUCCCAAGUCCUGUUUAUGUGCCAUCUCUUUGCUGGAUGGGACUGAAAACACUCGUCUAAUCAUAUCAAAAUAUCAUGAAGUGCAAUAUGGAAGUUUUGAAGAUGCAGUCCGUGUUUUUUUUUUUUGAGAAAGGUAGUUGAUAUUUGAGCUCAACAGCCAAUCAAACACUUCUCUCUUCCGUGCCCCUGAAGCACUGUGCUGAUUGGCUGGGAUUGUUUAUGGCUCAGUCCGAGCCACUAUGUUUGUCUCCUAUUUACAGGGCUGUGUUUGAACACUGGAGGUUUACAGGGCUGUGUUUGAACACUGGAGGUUUAGAGGGCUGUGAGGUUCAGAGGGCUGUGUUUGAACACUGGAGGUUUAGAGGGCUGUGAGGUUCAGAGGGCUGUGUAUGAACACUGGAGGUUUAGAGGGCUGUGUAUGAACACUGGAGGUUUAAAGGGCUGUGUAUGAACACUGGAGGUUUAGAGGGCUGUAUGAACAUUGGAGGUUUGAACACUGGAGGUUUGAAGGGCUGUGCAUGAACACUGGAGGUUUAAAGGGCUGUGUAUGAACACUGGAGGUUUAAAGGGCUGUGUAUGAACACUGGAGGUUUAGAGGGCUGUAUGAACAUUGGAGGUUUAAAGGGCUGUGUAUGAACACUGGAGGUUUAGAGGGCUGUAUGAACAUUGGAGGUUUAAAGGGCUGUAUGAACACUGGAGGUUUAAAGGGCUGUGUAUGAACACUGGAGGUUUAAAGGGCUGUGUAUGAACACUGGAGGUUUAGAGGGCUGUGUAUGAACACUGGAGGUUUGAACACUGGAGGUUUAAAGGGCUGUGUAUGAACACUGGAGGUUUAGAGGGCUGUAUGAACACUAGAGGUUUAAAGGGCUGUGUAUGAACACUGGAGGUUUAGAGGGCUGUGUUUGUUUACAGGGCUGUGUAUGAACACUGGAGGUUUAGAGGGCUGUAUGAACAUUGGAGGUUUAAAGGGCUGUGUAUGAACACUGGAGGUUUAGAGGGCUGUGUUUGAACACUGGAGGUUUUUUAGCACAAACACAGAACAGACGGCUAGGGGAGCAAUUAGCUGAAUUGGACAAAUAUUGUAUGGGAUUAACAUUGUGGACUACACCUUUAAAAUGUUUCCUCUAUAAAAGACACUACAAAACCGCUACAAGUAAGAACAUUUAUGAAAAAGUAUGAACUGAGAGAUUUAUAGCAGAAAACAUUAUCCACAGAUUAUCGACACUAAUUACACAGUCACACACACA